UACGGAGGGUGCAAGCGUUGUUCGGAAUCACUGGGCGUAAAGGGCGUGUAGGCGGUCCGCUAAGUCUGAUGUGAAAGCCCGGGGCUCACCCCCGGAAGUGCAUUGGAAACUGAUGGACUCGAGUCCCGGAGAGGAGAGUGGAAUUCCUGGUGUAGCGGUGAAAUGCGUAGAUAUCAGGAGGAACACCGGUGGCGAAGGCGGCUCUCUGGACGGUGACUGACGCUGAGACGCGAAAGCGUGGGGAGCAAACAGG
RNAcentral lists this ribosomal RNA (253 nucleotides) under uncultured bacterium. RNAcentral's name for it is "partial 16S ribosomal RNA". It matches the Rfam family "Bacterial small subunit ribosomal RNA", at positions 524 to 776 of the family's 1533-position model. The record is from RNAcentral.